UAGUUGAUUGGAAAUCUGCUGAAGCAGACUU
This 31-nucleotide non-coding RNA is filed under the name Rattus norvegicus (Norway rat). The record is from RNAcentral. Lineage: Eukaryota; Metazoa; Chordata; Mammalia; Rodentia; Muridae.